Molecule: ribosomal RNA, 158 nt
Filed under: Pythium sp. UASWS188
Lineage: Eukaryota; Oomycota; Peronosporomycetes; Pythiales; Pythiaceae
Description: 5.8S ribosomal RNA
Rfam family: 5.8S ribosomal RNA
About the family: 5.8S ribosomal RNA (5.8S rRNA) is a component of the large subunit of the eukaryotic ribosome.
Source: RNAcentral
AACUUUCAGCAGUGGAUGUCUAGGCUCGCACAUCGAUGAAGAACGCUGCGAACUGCGAUACGUAAUGCGAAUUGCACAAUUCAGUGAGUCAUCGAAAUUUUGAACGCAUAUUGCACUUUCGGGUUAUGCCUGGAAGUAUGCCUGUAUCAGUGUCCGUA